UACGGGGGGGGCAAGCGUUGUUCGGAAUUACUGGGCGUAAAGGGCGCGUAGGCGGUUCGCUAAGUUGGAUGUGAAAACUCUGGGCUUAACCCAGAGCCUGCAUCCAAAACUGGCGAACUGGAGUACUGGAGGGGAAAGCGGAAUUCCUGGUGUAGCGGUGAAAUGCGUAGAUAUCAGGAGGAACACCGGUGGCGAAGGCGGCUUUCUGGACAAUGACUGACGCUAAAACGCGAAAGCGUGGGGAGCAAACAGG
This 253-nucleotide ribosomal RNA is filed under the name uncultured bacterium. Its description in RNAcentral is "partial 16S ribosomal RNA". It matches the Rfam family "Bacterial small subunit ribosomal RNA", at positions 524 to 776 of the family's 1533-position model. The record is from RNAcentral.